CCUACGGGUGGCAGCAGUGAGGAAUAUUGGUCAAUGGGCGGAAUCCUGAACCAGCCAAGCCGCGUGAAGGACGACGGCUCUACGAGUUGUAAACUGCUUUUGUAACGGGGUAAAAUGCGCCACGUGGAGGGUUUUGAAAGUACGGUACGAAUAAGGAUCGGCUAACUCCGUGCCAGCAGCCGCGGUAAUACGGAGGAUCCGAGCGUUCUCCGGAUUUAUUGGGUUUAAAGGGAGCGUAGGUUGUUUUAUAAGUUAGCGGUGAAAUACCGAGGCUCAACUGCGGGGCGGCCGCUGAUACUGUAGGACUAGAGAUCGGUUGCAGCAGGCGGAAUGUGUAGUGUAGCGGUGAAAUGCAUAGAUAUUACGCAGAACUCCGAUUGCGAAGGCAGCUUGCUAGGCCGGAUCUGACACUGAUGCACGAAAGCGUGGGGAUCGAACAGGAUUAGAUACCCUAGUAGUC
RNAcentral lists this ribosomal RNA (460 nucleotides) under uncultured bacterium. Its description in RNAcentral is "partial 16S ribosomal RNA". It matches the Rfam family "Bacterial small subunit ribosomal RNA", at positions 338 to 795 of the family's 1533-position model. The record is from RNAcentral.